Molecule: ribosomal RNA, 751 nt
Filed under: uncultured bacterium
Lineage: Bacteria
Description: bacterial SSU rRNA
Rfam family: Bacterial small subunit ribosomal RNA
Source: RNAcentral
AUUGAACGCUGGCGGCAUGCCUUACACAUGCAAGUCGAACGGUAACAGGUCUUCGGACGCUGACGAGUGGCGAACGGGUGAGUAAUACAUCGGAACGUGCCCGAUCGUGGGGGAUAACGAGGCGAAAGCUUUGCUAAUACCGCAUACGAUCUACGGAUGAAAGCGGGGGAUCUUCGGACCUCGCGCGGACGGAGCGGCCGAUGGCAGAUUAGGUAGUUGGUGGGAUAAAAGCUUACCAAGCCGACGAUCUGUAGCUGGUCUGAGAGGAUGAUCAGCCACACUGGGACUGAGACACGGCCCAGACUCCUACGGGAGGCAGCAGUGGGGAAUUUUGGACAAUGGGCGAAAGCCUGAUCCAGCCAUGCCGCGUGCAGGAUGAAGGCCUUCAGGUUGUAAACUGCUUUUGUACGGAACGAAAAGCCUCUUUCUAAUAAAGAGGGGUCAUGACGGUACCGUAAGAAUAAGCACCGGCUAACUACGUGCCAGCAGCCGCGGUAAUACGUAGGGUGCAAGCGUUAAUCGGAAUUACUGGGCGUAAAGCGUGCGCAGGCGGUUUUGUAAGACAGAGGUGAAAUCCCCGGGCUCAACCUGGGAACUGCCUUUGUGACUGCAAGGCUGGAGUGCGGCAGAGGGGGAUGGAAUUCCGCGUGUAGCAGUGAAAUGCGUAGAUAUGCGGAGGAACACCGAUGGCGAAGGCAAUCCCCUGGGCCUGCACUGACGCUCAUGCACGAAAGCGUGGGGAGCAAACAGG